AACUUAACCUUCAAGAGCAUAGUAAAGCACAGAUAUACAACACCUCUGUACUAUGAGGAGACGCCCGUGCAAACCGGGCUGACUCUAAAAGCCCAAUAGCUAGCCCAACCCCCUAAAACAACCAUCCACCAUAACUAACCCCAAAAACACUUCACCUUUGUAAAACAAAC
This 170-nucleotide ribosomal RNA is filed under the name Lethrinus semicinctus (black blotch emperor). RNAcentral describes it as "partial 16S ribosomal RNA". The record is from RNAcentral. Lineage: Eukaryota; Metazoa; Chordata; Actinopteri; Spariformes; Lethrinidae.